RNAcentral lists this long non-coding RNA (255 nucleotides) under Homo sapiens (human). RNAcentral describes it as "HSALNT0354054". Lineage: Eukaryota; Metazoa; Chordata; Mammalia; Primates; Hominidae. The record is from RNAcentral.
CCCACAUUGGCCUCCAUACUGGAUCAGCAUGUCACUCCAUACUGUGUCCGGAACAUGCCCAAGUACUUUCCUGCCUCGGGGCUACUGCCUGGAAUGCUCUUCCCUUAAUACACCAAGACUGACCCCUCUUCUUCCUCCUCCUUUUCAACCUACUUAACAAGAAGAUGAUGAGGAUGAAGACCUUUAUGAAGAUCCACUUCCACUUAAUGAAUAGCAGAAUAAUGAUCUCCAGAGAUGUCUACAUCCUAACCCCUG